RNAcentral lists this ribosomal RNA (581 nucleotides) under uncultured fungus. RNAcentral's name for it is "eukaryotic LSU rRNA". It matches the Rfam family "Eukaryotic large subunit ribosomal RNA", at positions 40 to 647 of the family's 3401-position model. Lineage: Eukaryota; Fungi. The record is from RNAcentral.
AUAUCAAUAAGCGGAGGAAAAGAAACCAACAGGGAUUGCCUCAGUAACGGCGAGUGAAGCGGCAACAGCUCAAAUUUGAAAUCUGGCCUCUGGCCCGAGUUGUAAUUUGCAGAGGAUGCUUCGGGCGCGGUGCCUUCCAAGUCCCCUGGAACGGGGCGCCGGAGAGGGUGAGAGCCCCGUACGGUUGGCGGCCAAGCCUGUGUGAAGCUCCUUCGACGAGUCGAGUAGUUUGGGAAUGCUGCUCUAAGCGGGAGGUAGACCCCUUCUAAAGCUAAAUACCGGCCAGAGACCGAUAGCGCACAAGUAGAGUGAUCGAAAGAUGAAAAGCACUUUGAAAAGAGGGUUAAAUAGCACGUGAAAUUGUUGAAAGGGAAGCGCUUAUGACCAGACUUGCGCCGGGUUGAUCAUCCAGUGUUCUCACUGGUGCACUCUGCCCGGCUCAGGCCAGCAUCGGUUCUGGAGGGGGCAUAAAGGCCGCGGGAACGUAGCUCCUCCGGGAGUGUUAUAGCCAGGCGUGCCAUGCCUCCGCCUAGACCGAGGUACGCGUUCUGCAAGGACGCUGGCGUAAUGGUCUCCAGCGA